RNAcentral lists this small RNA (2091 nucleotides) under Pongo abelii (Sumatran orangutan). Its description in RNAcentral is "retained intron". Lineage: Eukaryota; Metazoa; Chordata; Mammalia; Primates; Hominidae. The record is from RNAcentral.
GAUGACAGUGGCGCCGGAAGCCGGGGCCGGGGCUGCUGGGCGAGGCUGAGGCCGCCAUGGAGCAGUGUGCGUGCGUGGAGAGAGAGUUGGACAAGGUCCUGCAGAAGUUCCUGACCUACGGGCAGCACUGUGAGCAGAGCCUGGAGGAGCUGCUGCACUACGUGGGCCAGCUGCGGGCUGAGCUGGCCAGCGCAGCCCUCCAGGGGACCCCUCUGUCAGCCACCCUCUCUCUGGUGAUGUCACAGUGCUGCCGGAAGAUCAAAGAUACGGUGCAGAAACUGGCUUCGGACCAUAAGGACAUUCACAGCAGUGUAUCCCGAGUGGGCAAAGCCAUUGACAGGGUGAGCAUGUGGCCAGCUCCAGGCCUGGGGUGGGAGUACCCUGAAGCUGGGAUGUACAAGGACUCGAAGGACAGCCAGCAAGAGUGCCCGCAUCACCAGGCCCUGUCUCUCCUCCUCCGUCAGAACUUCGACUCUGAGAUCUGUGGUGUUGUGUCAGAUGCGGUGUGGGAUGCGCGGGAACAGCAGCAGCAGAUCCUGCAGAUGGCCAUCGUGGAACACCUGUACCAGCAGGGCAUGCUCAGCGUGGCCGAGGAGCUGUGCCAGGAAUCAACGCUGAAUGUGGACUUGGAUUUCAAGCAGCCUUUCCUAGAGUUGAAUCGAAUCCUGGAAGCCCUGCACGAACAAGACCUGGGUCCUGCGUUGGAGUAAGGAGGCCCUUGGGUGGGCCAGCAGCACUCUGCUCCGACCUCUCAGGGCACAGGGCUUGACUGUGGUCUUCAGUUCACCCAGAUGUACUUGACUUGCCUCCAGCCCUGUCUCAAGAGCCUCACACAGGCUUUUGGGGCCCUCCUCUCAGGUCCUGGCUCUCAGGUCCUAGCCCCCACCAGCUCUACACUAAACUGGCCCCUUUCUUCCCAGAUGGGCCGUCUCCCACAGGCAGCGCCUGCUGGAACUCAACAGCUCCCUGGAGUUCAAGCUGCACCGACUGCACUUCAUCCGCCUCCUGGCAGGAGGCCCCGAGAAGCAGCUGGAGGCCCUCAGCUAUGCUCGGCACUUCCAGCCCUUUGCUCGGCUGCACCAGCGGGAGAUCCAGGUGAUGAUGGGCAGCCUGGUGUACCUGCGGCUAGGCUUGGAGAAGUCACCCUACUGCCACCUGCUGGACAACAGCCACUGGGCGGAGAUCUGUGAGACCUUUACCCGGGACGCCUGUUCCCUGCUGGGGCUUUCUGUGGAGUCCCCGCUUAGCGUCAGCUUUGCCUCUGGCUGUGUGGCGCUGCCCGUGUUGAUGAACAUCAAGGCUGUGAUUGAGCAGAGGCAGUGCACUGGGGUCUGGAGUCACAAGGACGAGUUGCCGAUUGAGAUUGAACUAGGCAUGAAGUGCUGGUACCACUCCGUGUUCGCUUGCCCCAUCCUCCGCCAGCAGACGUCAGAUUCCAACCCUCCCAUCAAGCUCAUCUGCGGCCAUGUUAUCUCCCGAGAUGCACUCAAUAAGCUCAUUAAUGGAGGAAAGCUGAAGUGUCCCUACUGUCCCAUGGAGCAGAACCCGGCAGAUGGGAAACGCAUCAUAUUCUGAUUCCUACCUGGAAGGAAUUUUGUUGAAAGGGGUUUUCACCUGUGAGCCUUGGUCUGUCUCAGUAGGGUGGUCAGCUUCAGUGGACUGUGGUUGGUUUCAGAGCGCCUGGCUGAGGAGUUCCGCUGAGGGGAGGGCUGGAGCAGCCCUUUGGCAGAGGCUGAGGAGGGAGAUGGACCAGCCCACACCUGGCAGCUGGCUCCAUGGCAUAAGGAAAGGGAGAUACUGGCCUCUGUGCUCCUGCUGUCUCUUCCUGUUCUGUUUGCCUUUGACUUAGUAGCAACCGACAGAGUGGCAAGGGAUUUGGUCUUCAGCAGUAGACAUCCUUCCACCCCUGCCCUCAGCCAAGUCUCUUGCUGCCAUGCCAAUGCUAUGUCCACCCUUGCCCCUCGGCCCAAGGGUGUCCAGUGGUGGCCCACCUCUUCCUCCCACUACAGCCUCAACAGUACGUACCAUCUCCCACUGUAAAUAGUCCCAGUUAGAAUGGAAUGACGUUGUUUUAUAACUUUGAACAAAUGU